RNAcentral lists this ribosomal RNA (370 nucleotides) under uncultured bacterium. Its description in RNAcentral is "bacterial SSU rRNA". It matches the Rfam family "Bacterial small subunit ribosomal RNA", at positions 527 to 896 of the family's 1533-position model. The record is from RNAcentral.
GAAGGGGGCUAGCGUUGCUCGGAAUUACUGGGCGUAAAGGGCGCGUAGGCGGCUCCGUUAGUCAGGCGUGAAAGUCCUGGGCUCAACCUGGGAACUGCGCUUGAUACGGCAGGGCUAGAGGAUGGAAGAGGGUCGCGGAAUUCCCAGUGUAGAGGUGAAAUUCGUAGAUAUUGGGAAGAACACUGGUGGCGAAGGCGGCGACCUGGUCCAUUACUGACGCUGAGGCGCGACAGCGUGGGGAGCAAACAGGAUUAGAUACCCUGGUAGUCCACGCCGUAAACGAUGUGCGCUGGAUGUUGGGUGGCCUAGCCACUCAGUGUCGUAGCUAACGCGGUAAGCGCACCGCCUGGGGAGUACGGCCGCAAGGUUG